GGCACAGAGCCGCCCUCAGACUACUUGCCACCUGAACCUCCUCCACACAGAGACAAGGGGAUGCGGCACAUGGUGGGUCCUGAUUGGCGCCAGCUCUUCGAUGUGGUCAUUGUCCAGGCAGACAAGCCCAGCUUCUUCACUGACCGGCGCAAGUAUGGGCAUGGUGGGGGUUGCAGGGCAGGGAAGGGGAAUAGAGGCCCCACCCCAAUGAGGGGACUGAAGGAGGAGGCCAACCUGGCCCUUGCCCACUGCCCAAUGUGCUUGGGGUGAGAACACCCCCUUGCUGGCAUGGAUCCACUUGAGCAGGUGGGCCUUUACGGAGGAGGGAUGGGGGUUGCCCGGCCCGUGGCCCAGCCACAGACUGGAAGUCAAGCCCUUUACCUGCACCCCAGGCCUUUCAGAAAACUCGAUGAGAAGGGCUCACUUCAGUGGGACCGGAUCACCCGCUUGGAAAAGGGCAAGAUCUAUCGGCAGGGAAACCUGUUUGACUUCUUACGCUUGACGGAAUGGCGUGGCCCCCGCGUGCUCUACUUCGGGGACCACCUCUAUAGUGAUCUGGCGGAUCUCAUGCUGCGGCACGGCUGGCGCACAGGCGCCAUCAUCCCCGAGCUGGAGCGUGAGAUCCGCAUCAUCAACACGGAGCAGUACAUGCACUCGCUGACAUGGCAGCAGGCGCUCACGGGGCUGCUGGAGCGCAUGCAGACCUAUCAGGACGCAGAGUCGAGGCAGGUGCUGGCUGCCUGGAUGAAAGAGCGGCAGGAGCUGAGGUGCAUCACCAAGGCCCUGUUCAACGCGCAGUUCGGCAGCAUCUUCCGCACCUUCCACAACCCCACCUACUUCUCAAGGCGCCUCGUGCGCUUCUCUGACCUCUACAUGGCCUCCCUCA
This 886-nucleotide small RNA is filed under the name Pongo abelii (Sumatran orangutan). Its description in RNAcentral is "retained intron". The record is from RNAcentral. Lineage: Eukaryota; Metazoa; Chordata; Mammalia; Primates; Hominidae.